AUGGCGGCCAGUGUGCUCCCCACAUGUCUCGGCCUUUGCCCGGUCUCCCCAUCAGAACCGGGGCUCAGGGGCCCUGGGCCCCGUCCUCCCCAGGCUCUGAGCCUCCCUCUGAAGGACCCCUCGGCCUCUUCCAAACCCACCACCACCUGUGUCCACCCAGCUCCUCUCUGCCUGGGGCCAGGGGGGGACACCAGGAGUGGAGCAGCUCACGAGGUUUGCACAGCAAACGCCUCAGAUCCUGGGACUUCAGAGGCCCCGGCGGAGAGCUCGCCCGAGCGGCGGUCUGCUCCUUGGUGGCUUUUCGAGCCCUGUCACCCAGGCAGGAGGCCCUGGCCGCGCCGGGACGAGGCGGGGGUUCGGGGAGGCGGUGGGUUGCUCAGAGGGGCCACCCCGCAGGCAGGGCCGGGCUGAGCGACCGGCGGCCAGGCUGCACUGUGGCCUGCUAAACCCUGGCGGCCCAGCUGGGAGGGGAGGCGGUGCUGUUUGGGAAACGAGCUCUGAGGGGCGGGAGGGCUGCUGGUGCCAGGAGUGGCUGGGCCUGCUCUGGGCCUCCUCCCAACACGAGGCUGCGGGGACCCCAUCCGCGCCCCUGGGCCCCUCGCCCCGGGCCCUGUCUCCUGGGGCGCCACGCGUACCCCUACGCAAACCCCAGAGCCAAGGCAGCCUGAGGGCCCUUACCCACUCUGAGCCCCGAUUUGCACACCUCCCGUGACCGGGUGCUCACUACCUCACAGGCACACCGUCCAGAUGCACAGCCGUGGGGCUGCAGUGAGGGAGGACCCCUCCCUGACUGCUAGGUCUCCGGAUCAUUCGGGCUGAGCGGCCGGUACCAAGCCCCCUACUGGGUGCAUAGGCUGGGGCUCCUGUACGCCCGGGACAGUUCACUUAAUUAGUCCAGUGUGCAUUGACUGAGUGCCCGCGUGCACCAGGCUCAGCCAGGAGCUAGGGCUACAAAAACUGGUGGCACGGGGAUCCUAAAAGGGCCCUCCCCGUGUGGCAGCGACUUUGCCACGGGAAGUGCCUUGGGUGUCGGAGCUGGAGAGGUGGGUCACAGGAGGAAGGGCCUUCUCGUGAGGGAACAGCCUGUGCAGAGCCUGGAGGUCUGAGCCGGAAGGGGCGCUGGGAAGGCCCAGGUCAUGGCCACGGGAGCCCCGCCCGGGCGGCCGAGCGGGAAGGACGCUCGUGGUGGGAGGGCAGUGUGGCCGAGGCGCUGGGGACUGACGCAGGGUCCCUGUGGGGGGCCUCCCCCUCCAGGUCGGCGAGGUCGGGCCCCGGGGAGCUGGCGGCCCCCGCAGUCAGACAGUGCCGCUGGAGAGGACGUGUCGGGACCGGUCCCGGGAGAGCGGCGUCUGUCCUGCACGGCUCCAGCCCCCGACAGCCUGGCGGGGUCACCCCGAAGCAGGCUCAGCUGGGAGGCGCCCCGUCCAGCGCGGGGUGCGCAGCGGGGGAAGGUCACGGGCGGGGCGGAGCAGGGAGGUCGGCAGUGAGGCCCCAGGACGUGAGUGUGUCGGGUCCCAGCGAAGGGAUUCGGUGGAAGAUGGCCUGGGGCUGCUGGCCAUCGCCCUCCGACCACAGGGCAGGAGAUUAUCCUGGGGGAAUCACAGGGCCCCCUGGGAGGACAGGGGCCGGCGGGGCCGGGGAGCUGGCUCGGGCCUCUGGCCUCUGGAACCCGGCGGGGGGCUGGGGGUGGGACUUGUGUUUUUAGGCUUCAAGAGUGAGUAUUCGAGAGACAGAGGCCAUGACCUGUGACCUAGCCUUGGAGUCACCCUUGGAGGAGGGGAGCCAAGACAAACUCCUAGAAAGAGCUGCUGCGCCUACCGGCCCCCCUCGCCCCCGCCCCGGCCCCCGGAAAGGGUCCUGCCAGCCUCCCAGCGGCCUGUGUCACAGGCUGCGCCUGCGUGAGGUCCCGGGGCCGCAGGAGACGGGCGUUCACACAGCGGGAGCGUGUCCUCAGCUGCGCGGUGGGUGUGGGCAGGGCUGGCUCGGAGCAAGGCGGGGUCCUGUCUCCCCGCUCCAGAGGGCAGCUGGCGCCCCUCGGCCGGCCCUCAUCCAGGAUGGCCUCGUCUGGAGACCCUUCCCUUUGUGACACCUGCCAAGGCCAGGCGGGUACGUCUCUUGUGGGGCCACCAGUGAAGCCACUACAACAUCCCACACAGACUCUUUGAUGAAUGUAGGUAUUAGUUUGGAUAUUUGUCCAUUCCAGUAGGCGACAGACACACCAGCGAAGAGUCCGGAAGUCCACCAAGUCCCUCAGCAAGUUUAUUCACGUACGGUAAACGGCGCAUGUAAAAGCGUACAGUUGGAUGAGCUGAGAUGCGUAGACACCCAGGGAACCUUUGCCACGUUCAGGACAGUGAACGUCUCCAUCAACCAAAGUCUCUGCAUUUUAUUUUUAUGGUAACGAUGUGGCCAGGACCAAGCAGGGGCCUCUUUCCCACUGCGUAACUGCUGCCUCGUUGCUGGGUUGGGCCUGCCUGUCUGUCGGUCCGUCUCAGGCCCUUACGAAACUCCUGCUAAAAAUGCCUGUGUGGGACUUCCCUGGUGGCACAGUGGUUACGAAUCUGCCUGCCAACGCAGGGGACACGGGUUCGAGCCCUGGGCCGGGAAGAUCCCGCAUGCCGCGGAGCAACUAAGCCCGUGCGCCACAGCUACUGAGCCUGCGCUCUAAAGCCCGCGAGCCACAACUACUGAGCCCACAAGCCACAACUACUGAAGCCCACACACCUAGAGCCCAUGCUCUGCAACAAGAGAAGCCACCACAAUGAGAAGCCCGCGCACCGCAAUGAAGAGUAGCCCCCGCUCGCCGCAACUAGAGAAAGCCCGCAUGUAGUAACGAAGACCCAACGCAGCCCAAAAGUAAAUAAAUAAAUAAAUUUAUAAGAAAUAAAAUAAAAAGGCCUGUGUGCCCGUCCCUGUGCACAGCUGCACGGUCGCUGUAAGAUGACUUCCUGGCAGCGCGACCUGAGCCAAGGGGUUGC
Long non-coding RNA from Balaenoptera acutorostrata (minke whale), 2978 nucleotides. RefSeq lists it as uncharacterized. The record is from RefSeq and is a predicted model, not a curated record. Lineage: Eukaryota; Metazoa; Chordata; Mammalia; Artiodactyla; Balaenopteridae. The transcript has 3 exons.